Bison bison bison is the source of this 127-nucleotide small nucleolar RNA. Its record names the gene SNORD22. It matches the Rfam family "Small nucleolar RNA SNORD22". From Rfam's summary of the family: U22 is a member of the C/D class of snoRNA which contain the C (UGAUGA) and D (CUGA) box motifs. U22 is encoded within the U22 snoRNA host gene (UHG) in mammals and has also been identified in Xenopus. U22 is thought to as a 2'-O-ribose methylation guide for ribosomal RNA. Lineage: Eukaryota; Metazoa; Chordata; Mammalia; Artiodactyla; Bovidae. The record is from Ensembl.
UGCCAAUGAGGAAAGCAGACAUCCUGUCUUACCCCUGUUCUAGCCCCAGAGCCAGUAAUGGUGAACCCACUGGGGCUAACUGGGAGAAAGGAUGAAAUUUCAUUCCAUAAGGAAUUAUCUGAGGUAC